RNAcentral lists this ribosomal RNA (468 nucleotides) under uncultured bacterium. Its description in RNAcentral is "partial 16S ribosomal RNA". It matches the Rfam family "Bacterial small subunit ribosomal RNA", at positions 28 to 507 of the family's 1533-position model. The record is from RNAcentral.
GACGAACGCUGGCGGCGUGCUUAACACAUGCAAGUCGAACGGAAAGGCCCUGCUUUUGUGGGGUGCUCGAGUGGCGAACGGGUGGGUAACACGUGAGUAACCUGCCCUUGACUUUGGGAUAACUUCAGGAAACUGGGGCUAAUACCGGAUAGGGGCUCCUGCUGCAUGGUGGGGGUUGGAAAGUUUCGGCGGUUGGGGAUGGACUCGCGGCUUAUCAGCUUGUUGGUGGGGUAGUGGCUUACCAAGGCUUUGACGGGUAGCCGGCCUGAGAGGGUGACCGGCCACAUUGGGACUGAGAUACGGCCCAGACUCCUACGGGAGGCAGCAGUGGGGAAUAUUGCACAAUGGGCGGAAGCCUGAUGCAGCAACGCCGCGUGCGGGAUGACGGCCUUCGGGUUGUAAACCGCUUUCGCCUGUGACGAAGCGUGAGUGACGGUAAUGGGUAAAGAAGCACCGGCUAACUACGUG